CGGACGAGAAGCUUGCUUCUCUGAUGUUAGCGGCGGACGGGUGAGUAACACGUGGAUAACCUACCUAUAAGACUGGGAUAACUUCGGGAAACCGGAGCUAAUACCGGAUAAUAUUUUGAACCGCAUGGUUCAAAAGUGAAAGACGGUCUUGCUGUCACUUAUAGAUGGAUCCGCGCUGCAUUAGCUAGUUGGUAAGGUAACGGCUUACCAAGGCAACGAUGCAUAGCCGACCUGAGAGGGUGAUCGGCCACACUGGAACUGAGACACGGUCCAGACUCCUACGGGAGGCAGCAGUAGGGAAUCUUCCGCAAUGGGCGAAAGCCUGACGGAGCAACGCCGCGUGAGUGAUGAAGGUCUUCGGAUCGUAAAACUCUGUUAUUAGGGAAGAACAUAUGUGUAAGUAACUGUGCACAUCUUGACGGUACCUAAUCAGAAAGCCACGGCUAACUACGUGC
This 455-nucleotide ribosomal RNA is filed under the name Staphylococcus aureus. RNAcentral describes it as "bacterial SSU rRNA". It matches the Rfam family "Bacterial small subunit ribosomal RNA", at positions 67 to 508 of the family's 1533-position model. The record is from RNAcentral. Lineage: Bacteria; Bacillati; Bacillota; Bacilli; Caryophanales; Staphylococcaceae.